Small nucleolar RNA from Diorhabda sublineata, 67 nucleotides. The record is from RefSeq and is a predicted model, not a curated record. Lineage: Eukaryota; Metazoa; Arthropoda; Insecta; Coleoptera; Chrysomelidae.
UUAUCAUGAUGAUCAAUAUGUCAGUUCUGCUACUGAGUAGCUUUGAAGAUAAUCCCAUUACUGAUGU